GUAAUACAGUUCCCAGGGAACAUCUUACACCCACCCGCACACUAAAGGUUUCCUGUUCAACCUUUCCUCCCAGAACAGGAUGAGGUAGGAUUCCACAAGCAGCUGUCUGUGAACCGGGAAGAUCCUCAGCCGACUGGGAAUGUCAGGAAUUCCACAGUCCUCAGGGUUCCUGCACUCCUCCUGACCUUUGGUUGGUCAUGAGAGUGAACAUCAGGGGGAGCUCAAGAGCUGUGUGUGGACUCUUGACUGAAGCUGCAUACCUGCAUGACGGUUUGGAGAGCAUGUUGGGAUAUUCACAGACUCCGUUGACGCAGUAGUUUUUAUAGUGUUCUGGACAGGGUAUGUAAAGUCCUCGUGCCACUUCUGACACCUCAGGCUUCUCUUCUACAACACACACAUGUGCACAAGGUUACCAUUAAGCUUGAGCGUAAAAGAUCUGUGAUUAUUGUAACAAUGAAUGGAAUCAUCAGAAAAAUUUCUGCAUAAUGUAAUCAAUAAAGUCAUUCAGAGUG
Pygocentrus nattereri (red-bellied piranha) is the source of this 512-nucleotide long non-coding RNA. RefSeq lists it as uncharacterized. The record is from RefSeq and is a predicted model, not a curated record. Lineage: Eukaryota; Metazoa; Chordata; Actinopteri; Characiformes; Serrasalmidae. The transcript is spliced from 2 exons.